Esox lucius (northern pike) is the source of this 1041-nucleotide long non-coding RNA. Lineage: Eukaryota; Metazoa; Chordata; Actinopteri; Esociformes; Esocidae. The record is from Ensembl.
CUGACUUCUCAGCUUCUCUACUCUGUCUCAUGCUGAACUACAUAAAUUGAACAGAUACUCUAUUUAGGACAAGUAAUUCUGCAUAUAAAAUAAAGAUUAUCACCUAACUGAAGCAGAAGAGAACAAAUUGGUUCCACUUUAUUUUGAGUUGAAGAAAUCUUGAAACAGGAAGUCAACAUGACUGAUCAUUCUCUGUGAGUAGAAAACGACUCUAUGCUUCUAACGAAAGUUCAUAAUUGUUAUGUUGCAGAAGGAGGCAGGAUAUAUGCGCAGGGAAAAGAGAGCACUUUUAUUAAAGUAACUAAAACUUGAAAACUGAAAACAGAACAACGUACAAUGGAAGGGAAUCCAAACAUUAACUAACAAGACACAUGAGGACGGUGGAACACAGGUGAACACAGUAAGAGAAGCUGCUGCCUAGGCAGGGGCUAAUGGGAGGUGACUUUUACAGGACUACCAGUUUUUUACAAUGUUGUCAAACCUGUUUCGAACCUCUUGCGAGUACUAAGGAAUGAAGCGUGAAUGGUCUCAGUUGGAUGGAGGCAGUGAGGACCAGGGAGGGGCUGAUGUUUAUUUAAAUGCUGAAACCAAGGAUUUGAUAUCCAGUGGCAGAGACAAGCUACGAUCCUGGGCCGACCCAAUAAACUCUGUCAACAGAGUUCUUAAGCAUAUCAACUCUGGGGAUGAUGUCAAUUGUGUUUACCUCAAAGACUCAAUCAACAAGAAAUUUGUGAGCUUUUAUGAAGACAUCACAGAGGAAUGUGGAUUGGAAGAUAAGCAGCAUUCAUGGGGUAUUCUAGAGAAACCAGAGGAAGUCAUCAUGUAUGGCCCCUUCUACCCAAAUUAUAACAAUGGACAACACAGCGAAGACAUUUUCAUCAAACAAACUGAUGAACUUCUUGUAUCAGAGGAUGUUUCUAAAGACUGGUGUGUGUAUAUAUUCACCUUGAACAGCCCCUGCUUAUCAAGAAACAUUGGACCAUGUAUGCUAAAUCUAAUGCAGAAGGCUAUUGAAUGGUACACCCAAUACGGAGUUAGGAC